This 48-nucleotide small RNA is filed under the name Sinorhizobium meliloti 2011. RNAcentral describes it as "putative ncRNA". Lineage: Bacteria; Pseudomonadati; Pseudomonadota; Alphaproteobacteria; Hyphomicrobiales; Rhizobiaceae. The record is from RNAcentral.
ACUCGAUCAGGUGCUACGUGUAUGUUACGUGGCCCGAUACCUCGCGGC